ACGGGACUCUUCGGAGUUCAGUGGCGGACGGGUGAGUAACGCGUGAGAAUCUGCCUAGAGGAUGGGGACAACCACGGGAAACUGUGGCUAAUACCCAAUGAGCGGAGACGUUAAAGAUUUAUCGCCUCUAGAGGAGCUCGCGUCUGAUUAGCUAGUUGGUGGGGUAAAAGCCUACCAAGGCGACGAUCAGUAGCUGGUCUGAGAGGACAACCAGCCACACUGGGACUGAGACACGGCCCAGACUCCUACGGGAGGCAGCAGUGGGGAAUUUUCCGCAAUGGGCGAAAGCCUGACGGAGCAAUACCGCGUGAGGGAGGAAGGCUCUUGGGUCGUAAACCUCUUUUCUCAGGGAAGAAGAAAGUGACGGUACCUGAGGAAUCAGCCUCGGCUAACUCCGUGCCAGCAGCCGCGGUAAUACGGAGGAGGCAAGCGUUAUCCGGAAUUAUUGGGCGUAAAGCGUCCGUAGGUGGCUCUUCAAGUCUGCUGUCAAAGAGUGGGGCUUAACUCCAGAAAGGCAGUGGAAACUGAAAGGCUAGAGAGCCGUAGGGGUAGAGGGAAUUCCCGGUGUAGCGGUGAAAUGCGUAGAGAUCGGGAAGAACAUCGGUGGCGAAAGCGCUCUACUGGACGGUAUCUGACACUGAGGGACGAAAGCUAGGGGAGCGAAUGGGAUUAGAUACCCCAGUAGUCCUAGCCGUA
This 696-nucleotide ribosomal RNA is filed under the name uncultured cyanobacterium. Its description in RNAcentral is "bacterial SSU rRNA". It matches the Rfam family "Bacterial small subunit ribosomal RNA", at positions 66 to 804 of the family's 1533-position model. The record is from RNAcentral. Lineage: Bacteria; Bacillati; Cyanobacteriota.